GGUGGCUCAGUGGUAGAGUGCUUGCCUGGCAUGCAUGAGACCCUGGGUUCAAUUCCUCAGCACCA
This is a non-coding RNA of Dipodomys ordii (Ord's kangaroo rat), 65 nucleotides long. The record is from Rfam. Lineage: Eukaryota; Metazoa; Chordata; Mammalia; Rodentia; Heteromyidae.